Corylus avellana is the source of this 90-nucleotide small nucleolar RNA. RefSeq annotates it as small nucleolar RNA snR60/Z15/Z230/Z193/J17. NCBI's taxonomy places the organism in Eukaryota, Viridiplantae, Streptophyta, Magnoliopsida, Fagales, Betulaceae. The record is from RefSeq and is a predicted model, not a curated record.
AUGGGUCGUGUGAUGAUCUACUAUGCAUAGUUCAGAUGAUACUCUGUGAUUAUCAAAUUGCAAGUCUUUCGCUCCUAUCUGAUGACCCAU